CCAAAGAAGCCAGGAAGCAGGCAGCUUUGUCAAGAAAGCCUCUCUUGCCAAGAGUCCUUGCAACUUCCCUAAGAAGAAAUCUAAAUUCCCCAUCAUCUGUCUUCAGUCUCAGAGCAAUGCCAAGUUCAAGUCCCCAGUUGUCAGAUUUCUAUUUGUUUAUGGGGAAUCUCUCAGGAAGGAGCGUUUUGCUUCCUCACUGCUCAUCCAAGGCCUUGGUACUCAUCUUGGCUUUUGGUGUGCUCCUGCUACUACGAGGAACCGAGGCCCAGGCAGUGACCCAGCCUGAGGCCCUUGUCUCUGUGGCUGAAGAAGCCCCUCUGGAGCUGAGGUGCAACUAUUCAUCUUCUGUUCCUCCGUAUCUCUUCUGGUAUGUGCAGUCCCCCAACCAAGGCCUCCAGCUUCUUCUGACGUACACAUCAGGAAACAGCCUUAUUUCAGGCAUCAAAGGUUUUGAGGCUGAAUUUAAGAAGAGUGAAACCUCCUUCUACCUGAGGAAAGCCUCUGCCCAGUGGAGUGACUCGGCUGUGUACUUCUGUGCUCUGAGAGACACAGUGCCUAGGACUGCAGAGGGAGCUGAGCACAAACUGAGACACUGUAGCUUAAAAGACUCAGGGGCUCAACCCGAGUUAUUUUCAGGAAGUUGA
Non-coding RNA from Choloepus didactylus (southern two-toed sloth), 644 nucleotides. Lineage: Eukaryota; Metazoa; Chordata; Mammalia; Pilosa; Megalonychidae. The record is from the annotation of a RefSeq genome assembly.